This 2173-nucleotide unclassified non-coding RNA is filed under the name Hevea brasiliensis (rubber tree). The record is from RNAcentral. Lineage: Eukaryota; Viridiplantae; Streptophyta; Magnoliopsida; Malpighiales; Euphorbiaceae.
UAACAAUAAUAAUAAUAAUAACCAAAAUUAAAGAAAACCCCUUAAUACAGCAAAUCACAUUGAAAAUUAAUAUUCAUAAGCUAAUAAUAAUCAGAAUAUUUUUCUCUUGAUUAGAAAAUAAUAAUACUAAAAGUUAACGCCAAGCUGACGCGACGGUGAGAGUCCGUCCCAUCCAACCAAAGCAAAUACCUCCACUUUGUUCGUUCACGGUGAAGCCCGGGUUGCCACGUGUACCCGAAUUAAGCUUCGAACGCAAAGAAUUCGCCACGAUUUGACUAACGGGCUUCGGCCCGAACCCAGCCAUGCUCAUACGGGCCCUCCACUUCCCAAAUACCUCGCAUCUUUCAACGCGGUCCCUCCCUUCGCACGCUACCGAAUUACACAUUUUGCGACUCAGUCCCUCUUCGAUCCUGACUCGGUCCAUGCUGUCUCGUGGAACUGUAGCAUCCAGCGAGUCGAAUAUCGCACCGUAAUGCCCACACGCUUCGUUCACACGCGCUAGAAACGGCGCCGUGUUGCCGUUCAUAUCUUGCUCCACCACCGUUACCACCUUCGGUGAUAACGCUUUUACCCGACGGAGAAGCUCGUCGCGGAGAUUCUCUGUUGUGACGCUUUCGUCGGGUAAUCUGUAUAAUUUGAAUGCGAAAUUAACUGCUAAUGCAUCAUCAGGGUCGAGGCCUAAGUUUUCUCGGCUCAAAUCGGCUACUUUACAGGACAUUACAUUGAAAUAUAAGCAGACCCCGAGCCGAUUAGCGACGGAGUUAAGCUCCAUGUGGAUGGAAUUGAGUCUCUCGUCAACUCCGCCGGCUUGUUCUGUGAAAGCAGUGAUUUUUAAAACGGCGGGGUUGUUUGAUUUCUUGGCAGCCAGUGCAUGCAGUAAAUGCAAGUACUGUCCGCCUUGGCCGAUGUCGAAAUCAAUGACGUGAAGCUUGUUAAAUGGGUGGUCAGCUACAGCUUCAAGGAUGGCUAGAUUGGCAGCCAUGAAACCGAGCUUGAAACAGGGAGAUACCUCGUAUAGAUUGUGAGUAGUCUCUGUAUGUUCUUUGCUUUGCAGCUCCAGGACCGGCGGUGGGUAAUCGACGGGGUUCAAGCGCGACCGUAAAGCGGCGACCAUGUAUGCCGUUAGCCGCUGGUCGGAGGAGCCUCUGAUAUUGGCAACUUGUGAUAGGCGCGUGAGGAUUUCCAGUGCGACGUCGUUUUUUCCAUCGUAUAUUGCUGUGGCUGCUUCUAUUAUAGACUGUUUGGGACAAGAUAUUGCCGGAGAUUCUGUUGAAGAAGCACACGAAGAAGUCGAAGAGGAUGGAGAUAGUGAUGCCAGUUUCUGAAUUUGGUUUUGGUUCUGAGAGGGGCUAAUCAGAUUCUGUAUCGUCUCCGACCACUCGUUGUUGGUGAUGACCGAAACUGUAUCGCCUUCUUCUUCAUCGUUGUCGUCUAAGAGCUGUUUCUCAAGCUCUUGAAGACAAUUCAUCAUUUUUUUAUCAGAUUCCUGUACUCCGAUGGUUGCUCCGUUUUGAACCGGAUUUAGAGACGAAACCCCUGUAGAAUAAUUCUGAAUACCCGGAGAUAAAAACCCACCCAUAUUAGCAGGCUGCUGCAGAACCGGUAGAGCCUGGCGCGUGUUCAUCAUGGUGGAUACAUUUGAAUUCGAAGAUGAAAUUGAAGCAGCAGCGGCAAUCGAAAAAUCUACAGGGGAAAGAGGAGACAUUGGGGAAGACUGCUGAUAACUUCUAGGCUUUACGUUACGGAGAUAAAACCCAAUUCCUUGCUGCUGCUGCUGUUGAAGUAGCAUCAUCUGCUGCUGCUGUUGUUUCUGCUGUUGAAGUUGUAGAAACUGCAAUUGCUGCUGUUGUUGAAACUCCGCUAGAGAUCGCUUCCCCAUCAAAUUAGGUCUCCCUUGAUGAACCAUCUGCGUAACCGGGUCAGGCAAAAUACCCGAUAGCGGCGACGAAUAAGGCCUUUGUGAGUUGUUGUUAUUCAUGGUAGAUCUCCCACCGGCGCCGUAAAUCUCGCCGGAGAAACCUGACGACAUAUUUCAACAAAAUUCCGGCCAACACAGCUUUAUGAUCAGCAAAAGUUUGGAUCUUUAACAAAAUUCUGCAUUACAGAGAAAAGGUAAUUUCCUUAUAGAGAGAGAAAAAAUUAGCUUAUUGUUAAGCAAUUUGAUUGAUUCUUG